This 67-nucleotide transfer RNA is filed under the name Scopelogadus mizolepis. Its description in RNAcentral is "tRNA-Tyr". It matches the Rfam family "tRNA". Rfam says of the family: Transfer RNA (tRNA) molecules are approximately 80 nucleotides in length. The record is from RNAcentral. Lineage: Eukaryota; Metazoa; Chordata; Actinopteri; Beryciformes; Melamphaidae.
GGUAAGGUGGCUGAGUAAGCGGUGGAUUGUAAACCCACACACAGAGGUGUAAGUCCUCUUCUUAUCA